This 679-nucleotide ribosomal RNA is filed under the name uncultured Lachnospiraceae bacterium. RNAcentral describes it as "bacterial SSU rRNA". It matches the Rfam family "Bacterial small subunit ribosomal RNA", at positions 65 to 755 of the family's 1533-position model. Lineage: Bacteria; Bacillati; Bacillota; Clostridia; Lachnospirales; Lachnospiraceae. The record is from RNAcentral.
AACGAUUGAAGCUGGAGCUUGCUCCGGCCGAUUUAGUGGCGGACGGGUGAGUAACGCGUGGGUAACCUGCCUCAUACAGGGGGAUAACAGUUAGAAAUGGCUGCUAAUACCGCAUAAGCGCACAGCAUCGCAUGAUGCAGUGUGAAAAACUCCGGUGGUAUGAGAUGGACCCGCGUCUGAUUAGCUAGUUGGCAGGGCAACGGCCUACCAAGGCGACGAUCAGUAGCCGACCUGAGAGGGUGACCGGCCACAUUGGGACUGAGACACGGCCCAAACUCCUACGGGAGGCAGCAGUGGGGAAUAUUGCACAAUGGGGGAAACCCUGAUGCAGCGACGCCGCGUGAGCGAAGAAGUAUUUCGGUAUGUAAAGCUCUAUCAGCAGGGAAGAAGAAAUGACGGUACCUGACUAAGAAGCACCGGCUAAAUACGUGCCAGCAGCCGCGGUAAUACGUAUGGAGCAAGCGUUAUCCGGAUUUACUGGGUGUAAAGGGAGUGUAGGUGGCCAUGCAAGUCAGAAGUGAAAAUCCGGGGCUCAACCCCGGAACUGCUUUUGAAACUGUAAGGCUGGAGUGCAGGAGGGGUGAGUGGAAUUCCUAGUGUAGCGGUGAAAUGCGUAGAUAUUAGGAGGAACACCAGUGGCGAAGGCGGCUCACUGGACUGUAACUGACACUGAGGCUCG